CCCCGGUAAACGGCGGCCGUAACUAUAACGGUCCUAAGGUAGCGAAAUUCCUUGUCGGGUAAGUUCCGACCUGCACGAAUGGCGUAAUGAUGGCCAGGCUGUCUCCACCCGAGACUCAGUGAAAUUGAACUCGCUGUGAAGAUGCAGUGUACCCGCGGCAAGACGGAAAGACCCCGUGAACCUUUACUAUAGCUUGACACUGAACAUUGAGCCUUGAUGUGUAGGAUAGGUGGGAGGCUUUGAAGUGUGGACGCCAGUCUGCAUGGAGCCGACCUUGAAAUACCACCCUUUAAUGUUUGAUGUUCUAACGUGGACCCGUAAUCCGGGUUGCGGACAGUGUCUGGUGGGUAGUUUGACUGGGGCGGUCUCCUCCUAAAGAGUAACGGAGGAGCACGAAGGUUGGCUAAUCCUGGUCGGACAUCAGGAGGUUAGUGCAAUGGCAUAAGCCAGCUUGACUGCGAGCGUGACGGCGCGAGCAGGUGCGAAAGCAGGUC
Molecule: ribosomal RNA, 494 nt
Filed under: Salmonella enterica
Lineage: Bacteria; Pseudomonadati; Pseudomonadota; Gammaproteobacteria; Enterobacterales; Enterobacteriaceae
Description: partial 23S ribosomal RNA
Rfam family: Bacterial large subunit ribosomal RNA
Source: RNAcentral